CUGAGUGAGGGCCUUCGGGCUCGACCUCCAACCCUUUGUGAACACCAACUUGUUGCUUCGGGGGCGACCCUGUCGUUUCGACGGCGAGCGCCCCCGGAGACCAUCAAACACUGCAUCUUUGCGUCGGAGUUUAAGUAAAUUAAACA
This 146-nucleotide unclassified non-coding RNA is filed under the name soil metagenome. RNAcentral describes it as "partial internal transcribed spacer 1". The record is from RNAcentral.